This 960-nucleotide ribosomal RNA is filed under the name Amanita sp. 'ameripanthera'. RNAcentral's name for it is "partial 28S ribosomal RNA". It matches the Rfam family "Eukaryotic large subunit ribosomal RNA", at positions 1 to 938 of the family's 3401-position model. Lineage: Eukaryota; Fungi; Basidiomycota; Agaricomycetes; Agaricales; Amanitaceae. The record is from RNAcentral.
UUGACCUCAAAUCAGGUAGGACUACCCGCUGAACUUAAGCAUAUCAAUAAGCGGAGGAAAAGAAACUAACAAGGAUUCCCCUAGUAACUGCGAGUGAAGAGGGAAGAGCUCAAAUUUGAAAUCUGGCAGUGUUUUGCUGUCCGAGUUGUAAUCUAGAGAAGUGCUGCCCGUGCUGGACCAUGUACAAGUCUCCUGGAAUGGAGCGUCACAGAGGGUGAGAAUCCCGUCUUUGACAUGGACUGCCAGUGCAUUUGUGGUGUGCUCUCAAAGAGUCGAGUUGUUUGGGAAUGCAGCUCUAAAUGGGUGGUAAACUCCAUCUAAAGCUAAAUAUUGGCGAGAGACCGAUAGCGAACAAGUACCGUGAGGGAAAGAUGAAAAGAACUUUGGAAAGAGAGUUAAACAGUAUGUGAAAUUGUUGAAAGGGAAACGCUUAAAGUCAGUCGUGUCGGCCAGGGAUCAACUCAGUAUUAUCUGCUGGGUGUACUUCCUGAUCUGAUGGGCCAACAUCAGUUUUGACUGCUGGAGAAGGAUAGAGGGAAUGUGGCACCUUCGGGUGUGUUAUAGCUCUCUGUCGGAUGCAGUGGUUGGGACUGAGGAAAGCAGCAUGCCGCAAGGCCGGGUCGUUUCGACCACGUUCAUGCUGAGGAUGUUGGCAUAAUGGCUUUAAUCGACCCGUCUUGAAACACGGACCAAGGAGUCUAACAUGCCUGCGAGUGUUUGGGUGGCAAACCCGAGUGCGGAAUGAAAGUGAAAGGUUGAGAUCCCUGUCAUGGGGAGCAUCGACGCCCGGACCUGAGCACAUUGCAAAGGAUCUGCGGUAGAGCAUGUAUGUUAGGACCCGAAAGAUGGUGAACUAUGCCUGAAUAGGGUGAAGCCAGAGGAAACUCUGGUGGAGGCUGGUAGCGAUUCUGACGUGCAAAUCGAUCGUCGAAUUGGGUAUAGGGGCGAAAGACUAAUCGA